RNAcentral lists this long non-coding RNA (41236 nucleotides) under Olea europaea (common olive). Its description in RNAcentral is "long non-coding RNA (OEUR_LNC014207)". Lineage: Eukaryota; Viridiplantae; Streptophyta; Magnoliopsida; Lamiales; Oleaceae. The record is from RNAcentral.
CAGAAAUUUCAAGUCCAUCAAAGAGUUAGAGCUUCAAAAUCAUGUCCUUUUUAAGGAACGCUAAAGCUAACCACCAAAAACAAGAAACAUUUACCAUAGAACAGCGGGAAACAGGCCAUAAUUCUCAAGGUAAUGAGCGUUCUAUCAUUAACCGUCCUGCCACUCCUAACAGACAAAACCAACCAGAAAGAGGUUUUGACGUUAGUCAUGUGAGUUCCAGUUCCUCAGUGACUCAGUCUAUGAGUACUGAAAGAUCAUCAGGACAUGAACUCAAUCACCGCCAUCCACAUAUCCCUCCUAGUACACCAGGAGUUGACCGCCAUCCACAUAUCCCACCUAGUACACCAGGAGUUGACACAAGGAUUGAUAUUAUUGAAGAAGUGAGAGAGGGAGAAGAAGACCCUGUAGAGAAUCCUGUACACAACCCUGGAGAAAAUCCAGAGGCAGGUUGAGAUGAGGGAUUUGGGAGAAAUUUCUAGAUGAUAGGAAAUUAUAUAUGAUUGUCAUGUUUUGGACUAAAUGUUAUUUAAAUAAGUGAAUGUAUUGGAUACCAUGAAUUCCAUCUGGCUUAUGCAAGUUAAUGAGAUUGAAAAAUAAUAAUAAUAAUAAAUAAAUUUGCUUUUUUUUUUUUUUACCUUAUUCUUAAUCUAGUAGUUAAGUAAUUUUAUGCUUGCAUUUCAUCAAGGUUAUGGUAACUCGCGCUAGAAACACGAACAAUAGGAAUGGUCAACCCCGGACCGAACCAACAAAAUUGAACAAUAAUAAUCACAACUAAAAUGACCGAUUCACAAUAUGGCACCACCCGCCAUACAACAUGUUGCACUACCACCUGCAGAGAGGAGUGUGGCUGUAAUAGUGAACAAUAUCGUAAGCAACAACCUCCUAGCUUUGAAGGAAACACAGAUUCACUAGUGGUAGAAGAAUGGAUAAGCAAGCAAGAAUAGAUCUUUGAACUUGUUGAGUGCCUCGAAAUUUGGAAGGUAAUCUAUGCAAACUUUACGCUGGAUAAAGGAGCAAGAUACUGGUGGAAAAUGACCAACAGGUCCAAAGCAGCUAGACAAGGCCAAAUGUGGAAUGAAUUCAAAGAAUUAUUCCUACAAAAAUAGCUCCCCAGGUUAAUUAUCCCAAUAGUCAUUAAACUUUGCCAAAUGUUCCCGAAAGGUCACCGAACUUCAAAAUGUUCUUAGGAGGUCACUGAACUUUGCAAAAUGUUCCUAGGAGGUAACCGAACUUCAAAAUGUUUCCAGGAGAUCAUUGAACUUUGCAAAAUGUUCCUAUGAGGUCACUGAACUUUACGAAAAUUUCCUAGGAGAUCAUUAAACUUUUGCGAAAAUUUACUAGGAGAUCACUAAAAUCAUUAAUGUAUGGUGCUAUUUUUGUAAAGUUUAGUGACUUCUUGGAAAUAUUUUACAAAGUUUAAUGACCUCCUAAGAACAUUUUUCAAAUUUCAGUGACCUCCCAUGGACAUUUUGAAGUUUGGUGACCUCUUGGGAACAUUUGGUAAAGUUCAGUGAUUAUUGGGAUAAUUUACCCAGGGAAGAACUAUCUUGCUACGCCCCACAAUUGGUUAAUACUGAGGAAAAGAAAAUGAGAGGCAUUGAACAUUGUCUACAUGAUGAUGUCUGACAAUUAAUGGUCACCUUUGAAUUGGAUACAUAACACGAAGUAUUGGUAAAGGCAGAGUUAGCCAAGUUCAAAGAAAAUGCCAAUAGUACCAGUAAACCUGAGCAAUUUAUAUUGCGAAAGAAGCGUGAAUGGAAGGAUUACAAAGAUGAGAUAAGCAAAAUUUUGCUAAGAAAGGGAAAAAAGGGUAUUUACAAGCAAAUAUUCGGAGAAUCCAAUUUGUGACAAUUGUUAGAAGCAUCACGUUGGAAGGAAAAUGCCUCAUGGGAACCAAUGUAUGCUUCUAUUGUGGAGAGAUAGGUCACGUGGCAUAGUUUUACCCUAAGAAUCAGAAGUUGAGUCAACCACCACAAAAACAGAAACUCGGGAAUCUAUCUAAAGGGUAAGCCAAGGUCUAUGCCCUUAUUGAACGUGAGGAGGAUGUCGGCCAAAAUAUUUUGGCCGUUAAAUUCUCAUAUCUAGUACUCUUGUAUAUGUCUUGAUAGAUUUGAGCUCCACCCACUAUUUUAUAUCGCCAAAAUUUUUUAGCACAAUAGAUGUAAGUAGUGAUGUUGCCUAUACACCUUUAGAAAUUAUCAUCCCUUCAGGGAAUAUACUUAACACAAGUUACAUAGUAAGGACGGUAGGGGUAGAAAUUAAUGGUAAAAUCUUGUACAUAAAUCUAUACGUCUUGAACAUAAGUGUGUUCAACAUAAUCUUGGGAAUGGACUGGCUUUCAAAGAACCAUGCAACAAUUCUAUGCUUUAAGAGGGAAGUGAUUUUUAGAUGGCCUGGGGAAGUAGAAGUUUACCUUUCAGGGCACAAAACAAAACCCCUACCCAAAGUCAUUUUUACCUUAAAGGCCCAAAAAGUUUUAAAGUCGGAAAGAUGCAUAGGGUUCUUGAUGUCAGUGCUGGUGGUAAUCGAAGAUGUCAAAAUAGUACGGGAAUUUUCAAGAAUCUCUCUCGAAGACUUACCUGGAAUACCUCCAAAAUGGGAAGUAGAGUUCAAAAUUGAUUUGGCUCCCGAUUCUGCUCCUAUUUCUAAAGCUACCUACAGAAUGGCACCAAAAGAAUUGUAGGAGUUGAAAACACAAAUCAAGGAAUUAUUGGGAAAGGGUUGUAUAAGACCUAGUGUGUUGCCUUGGGGGCACCAGUGUUAUUCAUUAAGAAAAAAGAUGGAAAUAUGAGGAUGUGCAUUGGCUACCGAGAAUUGAAUAUGAUCACCAUCAAGAAUAAGUAUCCACUUCCUAGAAUUGAGGAUCUAUUUGAUCAAUUAUGGGGUAUGACAGUAUUCUCAAAGAUCGAUAUAAGGUUAGGAUAUCAUUACUUGAGGAUAAAAAGCUAGUGAUAUCUCGACCUUUAGAACUCAGUAUGGUCAUUAAGAGUUCUUAGUUAUGCAUUUUGGCCUGACUAACACUCCAUGAACAUUCAUGGACUUGAUGAAUCAUGUGUUUCAUGAAUACCUAGAUCAAUCUGUUAACAUGUUCAUCAAUGAUAUACUGAUCUGCUCGAAGAAGGAAAUGGAACAUGAAGAACAUUUGAAAAUUGUGUUACAAAUUCUUAAGGAGAAACUUACGCCAAAUUAAAAAAGUGUGAAUUUUGAUUAGAACGAGCUGUGUAUCUUGGACACGUGGUCACAGCCCAAAGAAUUGAUGUGGACCCAAGUAAGGUAGAAGUGGUGAUAAAUUGGUCGAGACCAACCAAUGUGGGAGAAGUUUGUAGUUUUCUGAGGUUAGCAAGAUACUACAGAAGAUUUAUAGAAAAAUUAUCUAAAAUACAGGACCCUUGACUCAAUUGACACGUAAGGGUGCAAAAUUCGAAUGGGCCAAAAAAUGCGAACGUAGUUUCGAAGAUUUGAAGAAAGGGCCAAUUAAUGUUCCAAUUUUAACUAUACCUGAUGUAGCACCACGACCCACAUAGAUUGAGACGUCACUAGACUAAUUGUACUUAAGCCGUAAACUUGAUAAAUAACUAUACUUUUAGCGGAAAGUAUAUAGAUUAAAUUUAAGAAUUUAAUUCAAGAAAUAAUUUUUUUUUUUUUUUGCAAAAUAGUUCAAUACUAAAAGAAACAAUUUCAAAAAAUAUAUUUUUAGAACGUUUUCCAUGCAUGUAACCACCUGUUCUUUCACCUUAUUUUGUGUAGGAGCCGUGAUAGAAGGACUAGAUGAAGGUGUAUGUAUAGGACUCUUACUCGCAGAAGGUCCCUCACCAAAGAGCUUGAAAACCAGUCCUCAAUGGCAAAUCUCAUGGUAGAUCCAACUUUCAUUCCAUGGUCCUUCUUAAAUUGAUCAAUCAACAUAUGCUUGACACCAUACCGCUCUGAGUUGAUCUCAGCCAACAACCCCUGUACAAGAGUGGUAUGAGGAACUGUCCCUGUAUCUGAUCCCUGUGCUAACUGAGUACCAUCUGUAUGUGUCUUCAGUGUUGGAGAACUGAUCGGUGCUGGCUCAGGAAGCGCCUCAGUAAUAGCGGUAGGAAUAGGAGAUAGAGGAAGAGUAAAUGUAAUAGUAACUGGAUGAUGUACUAUCCUGGUCUCAAGAGAUCAUUGUAAAGUAGCUGAUGUAAAAUUGGAAAGGGCUUCUAGAGAGGCCUGGUAAGCUAUUGUACUGAUAAUUAGCAAAGUUGUAAGAAUGGAAGGAGCUACUGAAGAAGCAACUGACUGGUUCUGAACAGAGGAAAUCCCUCCAUUGGUCACCGAACUUCAAUAAGUCCCUAAAUAGUCAUUAAACUUUGCCAAAGGCCCCUAGGAGGUCACCGAACUUUCAAAUGUCCCUAAAUGAUUACUGAACUUUGCAAAAAGCCCCUAGGAGGUCACUAACCUAGUUAUGCAUGGGCUUCCAAUAUUGCAAAGUUGAGUGACCUCUUGGGGGACUUCGACAAAGUUCAGUGACCAUUUAGGGACAUUUUGAAGUUCGGUGACCUCUUAGGGGACUUCAACAAAGUUCAGUGACUAUUUAGGAAAUUAUUAAAGUUCGGUGACCUCCUAGGGAAUUUUGGCAAAGUUUAGUGACCAUUAGGGGGAUUUUCUCAUCUGAACGUGUAUGCUAGCGACAAUAGGAAGCGAAGCUAAUGUAAUAACAGCGAAUACAGAAAAUGAUAUCUGGACUCCAAAUGUGCUAGUAGCAUGUUGUCUCCUCUGGUAUCUCUGAACUAAAACCUAUCUCUCAGGCGGUUUAUAAUGACCUCCUUUCCCUUUUCCUUAUCCUUGGCCACUUCUAUAUUAUGUUUAGGAGUGGCGUCAACAAUUGUAGCAGGAGGUGGUGCAGAGCAUGAUCCAACUGAACAAUGGUCCUUAGUAUAUCCAAAAUGUCUGCACCAAAAAUAGUAAUCUGGUUUCUUCUCAUACAUAAUAGUCUACCAAUAUCCUUCAUACUUCCAAAUUCUAUCUGGGAGCUUAUACUCCAAAUUAACCUCAAUGCAUACUCGUACCUCACUAGGUCAUCGUAAAUCUGAAGUUGGCUCAUCAAUACGAAGUGGGACUCCAAUGGCCUUAUCUAAUGCAAACAAACUACCCUUUGCUUGAAAUUAAUGGGCAAUGAUGGAAAUGAGACCCAGACAGGGACAAUAUGUGUCUCAUGCUGAGGGUUAAAGCUGGGUAUCUACUUAAAAACUCGUAUGAGACACCCAUCAAUGUACCAAGAGGGCUUAAGAAAUAAGCGUGAGUAAUCAUCCUCAUGUGCCAAAUGUAUUAAGAUAUGACAAGUAUCAAUGAGCCCUAUCAUAUAAUCACCGCAAAAUUUGAAUUUUUGAAAACUAUCUUUUUGAAAAUUGUCACAUACCUUAAUCAUCGAGGGCUUACGAUAGACAAAUUUUUCAACAAGUGUAAACUUAUAUGGCUCAGAAAGAAGAUCCUCCUCUUCCUCGAUAAAGGCAAUUGUCGGCUCUCCCAUAUGCAUAAAAGGUUCCUUAGAGAUGAACCUGUGAUCAUUGGAGCCCUGUGGAGACUGAGUAAUGUAAGCAAAUGACUUUUGUUGGCUGCGCUCGGCCUAAGAGAUAACAUAUUUGAUGAAAAGUGCAGUCACAUAUGACUUUCUAGCUUGAUUACUUCCUGUAGGGCAAUCCCAUAACAAAUCUGAUGAUGGAACUAGGCCUGAGAUAGAAUUUCCCAAAUACUGCCCAAGUGUCGUCAGAGUGUGACCUGCACGCGUCUGCUGAUUAGUCAUCAAAAUAAGGUGAUGAUUUCCAAACGGUGUCAAAAAUUUUUGAUUUUUUGCAAAUAGGAGUAGAAUUUCAUGUUGAUUAUCGUGGUAUGGCGUGUCACCUGAAAAGAGGUCAGGAUUAUCUGGAAUUUGAAGAUUUUUGAUCGACUGGGCAUAACUUUUUGGAGGCAGUGACGGGGGGUGUGAAUUCCAAACAGGCCGAAUUUUUGGUCGAAAGAUCAUCUUCUCAUGGGCUUUGAUACUGUUAGGCACGUGCAGGGAGUUAAUGCCCGUAGAAAGAUUAUAUUAAAAUCUUUUAAAGUGCCAAAGGUUAUGAAAUGCCAAUGGACUUUACAUUUAAUCCUCACAUAAAAUACAUUGAAAUGAAACCUAAACAAUUAUUCUCUUAAAUGUUGAAUGAAGGGUUGCCAACGUUUUAUUUUUCAAAGGGCAAGAAAUUCUUUUUAUAUACAUCCGAACCACUAUUGGUCAUAUUUCUCUUUAUCAAGAAAUUGAAGAAGCUCUCUAACUUGGCCCGCUAUUCCCGGGAAAUAGAGUAAGGGCCAGUAGCGCUGGAUUUUACAUUUCAUUUUUUUCCAAGUCAUUUAUAUCCUUUCCAUUAUAUAUUGACGUACACUUUGUGAACAAGAAAUUUUUCCAAAGGAAGAAAAAGAAAAACAUGAGAUAGAAGCAAACUCUUAGAACUGUGGGUGCAGUCGGGAGACAACAUUCGCCGUCCAAUUCCAUCAUAUUCAAAGCUUCAAAUGAAGGUAGGUAGAUGUGCAAGUGUUUAUUUCAUUUUCAAAUCAUGAUUUUUCGUUAAAAUUUUGAAUGAGAUGGUACCUUCGGGUACUGUGCUUCGGCACUACUAUAGCUUAAAUGAAAUGGUACCUUUAGGUACGGUGCUUCGGUACUUCUAUAGUUGAAUGAUCGUUCUCUGGUUCUACAUGUUAUGAUAAUGCUGCAGAAAUUGGAUUUUGCCGAAAAUCCAUCUAAUUGCGACAGUAUGAAUCUAUAGUUCGAAAUUUCUAAUUUGGUAACAAAAUGCACCGAUGACAUCUAUUGAGUUUCAAACUCAUGGGCUAGUUCUCGUCCUAUAGGUUGAUUUGAUUUUCUUGGGGCGUGGAUGACGUUAGAUAAAGAUGCAACAUACUAUGGAGAAGCUAGUGACUUAAUGUUUUAAUUCGAUUACGAAAUGUACACAAUGUAUAGUAAGUAGAUAUCUAUGAACUUCAUAUGUAGAACUAUUUUAAGAACAUUUUUUUAUGAAUAAAUUUAUGCUCAAAAUUAGAUAUGUGUUAUAGAAAUUAAACUACGAAUCAUCGUUUACAAAAAAAAGGGGUUUAGCAAUUUAAAUGUUGCUGUUUCCAAAAAAUUUCAGUUUCUGCAUUGACUUUAAAAAUUUAUAACUCAGCCAUUGCUUAGAAUUUUUAGACAAGACCAAUGGAGUUUGAUAGUCUCAUAGCUUAGCUAUUAAAUAAACUUGGAAUCAUGUCAUUCCAAUGUCGAUAGAAUUUUAUAUGUCACUUAAGGCAAACUACACUGGGUAGUGUUUCUAUUUUACAAAAAUUCAUAACUCAAUCGUCAUUUGAAUUUUUUGGAUGAAACUAAUUGGAUUUGAUAGUCUGGAUUAGCUACUGAAUAAAUUUGAAAUCAUGUGGUUUUGAUGUCUGUAGAAUUUUAUAUGUCAUUUUAACUGAACUGCAUCGGUUUACCUUUCAAUGGAGUCGCAACGGGGUUUUGAAAAAUAUUUUAAUACCUCAUACGAUUCUAGCGGAAGCUAAUUUUGACUACGUCAUAUUAUAAUGAGUUUCCUAGCUUAAAAUAAAAUUUCAUGAAUUUUCGAGGUCGAUAAUUAUGCAAACAAAUUUAUUUUGUCACUUACCUUACUAGAUAGAAAAAGGGUAGAGCUUUGUCUAGUUACUGUUAGCAGGAUUUUGGGAAAUAGUUUAAUGCCUCAUGGUGCGUUCUAUUGUAGGCACUCCAAAUUAAAACCUAUACUUCUUAAAAUUAAUAAAGUAGCAAAAGUAAGGGUCGAUCCCACGAAUAUUGAUUAGUUUAUUUCUAUGCUAAAUAAACAAUUUUUGGAGGGUUUUGAAUGUUUUGAAAUCAAUUCUAACUAAAAACAAUGUAAAUUAAUAAAUUGGAUUAAAUCAAUGAAUAAAACUAACCUUGGCCUGAGUCAAUAUCCACCUUCAAAAUUUUACAACUGAUCCUGGAUGCAAGUGUGAAUCAAUUCAUAUUUUCGGACAUUCAUCACUGGAAAAAUAAUUACCAUUCAAAUUAAUUUCCUAUUCCUCCUUAAGCCACGCGCUAAGAUUUAAUUCAAUAACAACUUUUUAAUUCAAUAACAACUUUACGUAUUAGAAAAAUUGAUGAACUAGAUAACACAAGUCACACAUUUGCAUUUAACCUAUUCAAACAUUCUUCCUAAGAUUAAAUAAUUUCCAAUCUAGCAAAUCACUAAUCCUAGUUGCUUCACAAGUUAAAUUAAUCAAACAAUUACGGAUUUGAUGUUUAACUCAGUGGAAGAUUGUAAUGAAUAACAAACUAUAUGUAUCCUAACAAUUAAACACAACAAUAAUUGAAAAUAAGUACAAAAGAAUGUUUAAUACCCAAAAACAUGAAUUAAACUAAUAAAACAAUUCGAUCUCACAGUUGUACAGAUUUCGGGGCUUCCAUAUCCUCGACCAAGUAUGAAAAAUUAGCUAGGCAUUUGCAGUUUUAGAGCACAAAAGAGAGAAAAGUGUUUUGGGGGUGUUCCCUCACGUUCUAGGGUUAAUUAGGGUAUUUAUAUGGUGAAAGGAUUUGUUUCCAUAAAUGGUUGGACGGAAAAAGGAAACUAACGACCGCAAUGUUAAAUUGUGUGCUAUCACAUGGUUAUAUCAAAACAAGGUCCUGAGUUUCCAGAAAUGGCUUGUGCGACUGCAUGGAAAAUGAAACAUGCGAUUGCAUGGUUCAUACGGUUUUCUCCGCUGGACAACUUUCAGUGUCUUUGUCCUAACUUUCUCUCCUGAUGUCCAAUUUAGGUGAUUCAAGAUGAAUUGAAAAGAUAACUCAAAGAUUUAAAAUUUUGUUAUAGAAUUUAUCUUCCAUUUCGAUCGUCUGCCAUGUCGAAAAUGGGUCCCAAUAUGAUGUUGAAAACCGGUGCAUAACCAUUUCGAUCGGAAAUUGAUGUGUGAUUGGACUUCAAUUAUAUUUCACCUCUUUGACUUCUUUCCUCAUCAACUUGACCUCUAAAAUUAUUGAAUCUUCAUUCCUUCGCUCGUCUCAUUUAAGGAUUAUUUGCAACUUGGUCCCUAAACUUUCAUCUUCUCUUUCCUUGGCCUCUUUUUCUUGUUUUACUUCUUCCAACACUUUAAGUCUUCCAUUAAUUGACCUUUAAAUCUUUCACUCCUUUAUUUCUCCUUUCGGUUCAACUUUUGGAUAUUUGCAAUUUAGUCCUUGAACUUUUGAUUUCUUUCACUUUGGUCCUUCUUCGCUUCUUUCUUCUAAUUUAUGCCAUUAUCAUCCAAUUGCUACCUAAAUCAAAAUAUAAGGGUACUUAGUACAUUUGGGUGUCAAUUAAUCACGAAAAUGGAAGUAUUAAUGGAUGAAAAACAUGACAUUUUAUGUCUUAUCACCUCAUAUGUCACCAAUAGAAGCCAAAUUUUGGAUAUGCUAUAUUAUAAGAUGUUCCCUACAUUUUCUUAAAAUUUUGGAUAUGUUAUAUUAUAAGAUGUUUCCUACUUUCGCUUAAAAUUUUAUGAAAUUUUGACAUUGAUAACUAUGUAAACGAGUUUAUUUUAAAACUUACCAUGCGAAAAUGGGAAAUCAAAACCGGUUACUCCCUUUUGCUUCCUAAAGUAGUUCAUGUAUGGAAAACUAUCAUUCCUUUUAUUUGUUUGGUAGAUAACUACUUGCCACUAUUCACGUAAUAAAAUAGGAGUAUGCAUGGAUUUGCUCGACUCUUUUCUUCUUUAAUAAAUGCUUUUGGAAUUAUUUUAAUAUUAUGUUAUUAUUUAAAAGUAGAUUUUUAAUAGUUUAUUUAUUGGUAGGUUUUUUAUAUAGUAAACUGCAUGUUAAAAAAGUAUUUAGUUCUCAAGGAAAAUUUUUUAAACUAAAUGUCUACGUUUCCAUUAAAGGAAUAGUUAAUUAAAUUAUUAUUUUAAAUAAUUUCUAAGUCUAAAGCUAUGGUACAAUAGUUUGAGUAAUAUUUUCGUCUACGUGGGUUGGGGCAUUACAGUGACAGAUGUCAUGAUGGACCUACUUAGACAAUAUGACAAGUACAAGAGGCUGGAUAUGUUGAGUGGAAGACUGCAGAAAAGAUGGCUAGGUGCUUCAUUUUGACUUUGAUGUCAAACGUGUUGCAACAAAAUGCUUGAAAGUCGGAGUGUCUCCCAUUACAUACUACAGACUCUUUAGAGCAUGUUUGAUCGUCGAAGUAGGAAGGCUCUUUUGAAGCCAUUUUUACCUUAUAGAACAUCCACAUGAAAUCUAGAGUACUUGUGAAGUUUUAUAGUUUGACUAUGAUUGCAUACUUCAAACAUGGCUGAGAGUUUGAAUGCAACCAUCUAUCAAGGAUACUUAUUUUUUAACAUGGUACAGAAUUCUUUACCUGUUAAUUUUUCAAUAGUUUACUAUGGAUUAUCACUUUCACAAGAUGAGAUACCACUAAUUGAGUUAAUUAUAGAAUUGCAAUGUGGAAAGUGGUUUUGAUGGUACAAUGGCGAUACUCGUGCAUCAUUUGGUGGUGCCUCUAAUUCCAAGCCUAAAGGUAGAUUUGAAAAAAGAGAAAGAAAGAUAUCCAUAAGCAUAAGAGCUACAAAAGAUCAAAAGUAGAUGGAAAGCCUUGAGGCAAUAUUUCGGUUGAGGUCGAAAAGGACACUGGAGAAAGAUUACCUAGAUGCACCAGUUAGAAAGCAAAAUGUGGGUGAGGUUUUUCAUUACUGAGUAUUGUUUAGUGGUUGAUACUACAAAUUUCUAAGAUUGCCUAGAUGCACCAGUUAAUGCGGAUGUUUCAGAAAAGCAGAAAAUUGGUGAAGGCCAAUUUCAAAUUAUCGUUAUUGUAAAAGCAACAGUUUUAGCAAGAGUAUAAGAUUUAGUAUAAAAGCAGCAGUUUUAAAUAUUGUUAUUAUGUCUUGUGAAUGAAGUAUAAAUUUAUUUUCUGUUUUCGAUUUAAUGGGACAAUGUUAUUCUGUAAAAUCAGAGUCUGAUAUGCUUAGAAUUUUAAUGAAUAAAGUUCUUGUUUCCAUAGACAUACAAUGUCACACCAUACUAGUGAUAUAUGUCUAUGGCAUCUUGGACUAAUCAAUCUUAACAGAAUAUAAAAUUAAAUAGAGAUGGUCCUCUCAACACAGUUAAGAUUGAACUAUUGUCAGUUUCUAAUUCAUUUUUAGAAAGCAAUAUGACCAAGCUAUCUUUUUUCACAAAAGAGAUAGAGCCAAAGAUGUAUUGGAACUAGUGCAUUAUGAUAUGUGUUAACUACGAAUACACUAGAAAAAGUGAACUGUGAGCAUUUCUUUACAGUUGAUUACUCUAGAUUCAAAUACAAUUACUUGGCUUGAAAGCAGAUAAUUUUGAGAAAUCAAAAGAGUAUAAGACUAAGGUCGAGAAUUAUUUGGGGUAAGAGUAUUAACAUACUUUGAUCUAAUUGAUGUGGUGAAUACCUCUCAGAAGAAUUUAGGGACAACUUUAAAGAAAAUGAUAAAUUUCUUAAUUGAACACGCUUGGUAUACCCCAAUAGAUUGGUAUUUCAGAAAGGAAAAAAAAACAAAUAUUGUUAGAUAUGGCUAGGUUAAUAAAGAGUUUCAUAGCUCUGCCUAUUUCAUUUUGAGAUAUACACAGAAAACAAUUGGAUAAAUUCUUAACUUAGUUCUUUCUAAGUUUGUUCUCAUGGCUCUCUUGAAAUUUUGGAAUGGGUUCAAGUCUUGCUCGUAUCAUGUCCAAAAUUUGAGGGUUUAGCUCAUGUGCUAAAAGAUAAUAUAGAAAAGUUGGAGUCUAGGUCAGAGAAGUGCCUGUUUUUGGAUAUUCUAAAAAUACCAAGGGAUAAUUUUUUUACAUGGUCCUCUAGACAGGAAGGUCUUUGUUAGCACAAAUACAACCUUCGUAGACGAUAAGUAUAUUAAUGAUUGUCAGUCAAAUAAUAACGUCAUAUUGGAAUAAAUGAGUAGGAGCAAUUCUACCUCAUCAAUUCUUGGACCCAACCUAGGACAGACAUCCCAUGGUGGCAAUAUACUUGGACAAUGUGAUUUGAGCGGGAUAGGUGAGUUGUCAUAUGAUCGCAUCACCUUCAAGGUACUUGUUGAGUGGAGAAUCCAAUCUGGUGAUCUCUUUCAUACAAGGUGAUGAUCCGACUUCAUACAAAGAGGUUAUAGAUAAAGUAGAUGCAACGAUCUAUUUAUGAAUUAAAGCAGACAUCAAGAUCUAGGAAUAUGAAUUCGACAAAAUGAUUAAGACAUUAGAACUUUGAAGAAUCCUAUGUCUAUAAGAAUUUAUGAGGUAAAAUUGUAUUUUUCCCAGUACAGAUGAUAUUCUACUCAUUAGAAAUAAUGUGGGUGUGUUAUUGCCUACGAAAGUAUAGUUGGCCAACAAUUUCAUAUAAUUGACUUAGUGAAGCUAGUAAUGUUCUAGAUUUCAGAUCUUGAGAGAUUGAAAAAACAAAGUGAUAGCUUUUGUCCCAAGUCUCAUGUGUUGAUAAGAUGCUUGUCAAAUUUGCUAUAUAAGAUUUUGCAUUCAGGCAUUGAAUCCAAAUUUCUAAGGAUCAGUCUGUUGUGACUCCUAGGGAUAUUGAGUACAUGAGAAGGAUACCAUAUGUGUUGACAGUAGGUAGUCUCAUGUAUUGUAUGCUAUGCAAUAGACCUGACAUUUGUCAUAAUGUUGGUGUCAUGAGUCGAGAUCUAGUUAACCUUAGGAUCAAAACAUUAAAUGGAGAUAAAACAUAUAUUUUAGUACCUCUAGAGAACAAGGAAUUAUAUGUUUCUCGUCAGAUCUUGUUUCGAUAUGUUAAAAUAAUUCGAACUUCCUGAGUGAUGAAGAUUAUCACAUGUCUACAUUUUUUAGCAAAUACCACUAGUAUGGCUUAUUUUAUAUAAUAAAAAAUGAGAAUACAAAUAGAGAAGGGGGCAUAGACCUGACUCCAGCAAUUGUAAAUUGCAACAAAUAUUUAAAAAUGAAUUGCAGUCAACAGUAAAAGAUAUAAACAAAAACCAAUGAGAACUACUCAAGGGUAAAUCUUCAUGUGGUAGUACAUAGAAAUUGAUCGGGUCAUUCAUAUUAGUCUGCGUAGUCCGGUUCACUCGUUGGGGAGGGGUCUCGCCUGCGUAAAGGAGCUAGAUGAAAAAUGAUGUUCAGAUGGGUGCACUAAAUGUCAGGUUAAAAGCAGGUGCAUCAGAUCUCAUGAUGCUAGUCGCGAGUGCGUCUGAUCUCAUGGUACUUUGUGCUACAACAUCUGAAGCGUGGGAGAGUGAACUGGUGAUUGUGGGUACAUCGUCCUUUACAUUUUGCAUGCAGUCUCCAAGGCUCAUGCCAUCCAUGUCUCUCUCUAUAUGUUCUUUCACCUUAUUUUUUGUAGGAGCCGUGAUCGAAGAACUAGGUGAAGGUGUAUGUAUAGGAGUCUUACUCAUAGAAGGUCCCUCACCAAAGAGCUUGAAAACCAAGUCCUCAAUCUCAAAUCUCAUGGUAGAUCCAACUUUCAGUCCAUGGUCCUUCUUAAAGUGAUCAAUCAACAUAUGCUUGACACCACGCCGCUCUGAGCUAAUCUUAGCCAACAAUUCUCGUGCAAGAGUAGUAUAAGGAACUAUCCCUGUAUUUGAGCCUUGUGCUGACUGAGUACCAUCUAUAAAUGUCUUCAAUGGUGGAAAACUGAUCCUUGUUGGCUUAAGGGUUGCCUCAGUAAUAGCAGGGGAAAUAGGAGCUAUAGAAGUAAUAAUAGGAGAAGCAGGCACCUCAAUAGGAGCCUUUAGAAUAGGCUCAGCAACUAACUGAAUAUAUGGAGGUACCUUUGGAUCAAUUGUGAUGGGGUAGAGGGAGAAACUGCCGAUAUAGAUACUGACUCUAUCAUGAUUGCAGUAGUAAUGGAAAGCAUAGAAAGCACUACUGAAACUGGCACCCACUGCUUCCUUGGCUCCACAAAAGUCAUCAUGCCUUUACCUUGUCAACUCCAAUAAUACGGGGCUAAACAUGGGGAGGCACAACAACUGCAAAGAGAGGAAGAGGUGUACCCGAAGUACACUGAUCAUAAGAAUGGCCCAAGUGUUUACAAGAGAAGCAAAAAAUCGAUAUCUUCUCAUAAAUAGUCUGCCACAAGCUACGGUUACCAAAUUUUUCAAUCCAAACCUUGUUGGGCAACUUAAGCCCCAAAUUCACCUCAAUGCACACCCUUGUCUCACUAGGUCGUCUCAAGUCGGAGUUGGCCUCAUCAAUCCUCAAGGGUAUUCCUAUUAUCCUAGAUAAAGCAAAAAGGUACCCCUUGGCAUGCAGAUAUACUAGAAUAAGAGGGAUGAUACCCAUACGGGAACUAUCGAAGUCUCCUACUCAGGUGUAAAGUCACAAGUCCACUUAAUGACUCUCAUCAGACGCCCAUCAAUGUUCUAUGAAGGUUUAAGAAAAGUCUACUGUAAUCCUCCUCAUGCGUAAGGUGUAUAAGUAUGUGUGUUGUGUCAAUCAAUCCUACCUCGAAGCAACCGUGGAACCCAAACUUAGAAAGUAUCUCACAUACCUUCCUCAUGUUUGGCUUGCGAUUUUGAAAUUUCCCCACAAGUGCAUAAUUAUAAGGAUCAGAAAGUGUAGCCUCCUCGGACUCAGUCAAAACCGCUACUGGCUCACCCAUAUUUAUAAAGGGUUCUUUGGCAACAAACCUGUAACACCCCAAUUUUUUUCAUAAAUGUCGGAACGUUACGAAAAACUCACUUUUCUUUAUUUUAAGUGUGGAACUAUAAAAAUAAAAUUCUUUAAUAAACAAAUAAUUGAAACCUUCACAAAUUUAGCUUAAAACAUGAUACACUACAAGAAAAAUGAUAUUUUACAACUAAUGUUUCAACGACCAAAUUAAUUUGGUCGUUAAAAAUUAUUUUCAACAACUAAAUAUUAAGUUUGGUCGUGGAAAAUGGAUGAUGAACAAUCAAAUUUUAAAUUAGUUGGAAAUAUUUUAUAACGACCAAAAAAUAGUUGUCGAUUCUAUAGUUUUUACAACCAAAUUAAAAAUGGUCGUUGUCAGUGGGUGCCAAAUUAAAAGUUCCCACCAACAACAAUAUAAUUGAUUGUUAAAAAUACAAAAAAAGAUAGUAAAUAUUCAACAACCAUAAUGUCUGGUCAUUAAUAGACUAAAAUAACAGCUAAUUUUAUCUCGUUGAAACUAAAGAAAAAUUCAAUGACUACUUUAAUAGUUGUUAACAAUGUUUUCAAUUUCACGUCUUAAAAUUUAGCUUCCUGCCUAAAAUUUCACUUGGCUCUUGAAAUUUCAUAUCAUAGUCAAACAAUUUUAACUCACCCACGACAUUUCACUUCAUUCCAAAGCCUGAACCUCAAAUCCAAAACUUCGUCUCUUCUCAUGGAUUUGCACCGCCUCCAUGAAUAAUUCCUCUUCCUCACUAUCUCUGCCUCUUUCUCUUUGAGCAUAUAAAGAGAAAAGGGAACCUCAAAUUUCAAUCUUCACCAUCGUCGAUGGUGGGUCACAUGACCCACUAUUUUUUUUUCAUAUGUAUUUAAAUCAAAACAGAGUCCCACAGCAAUUGAAAUUCUAAUUGUUUUGCCGAUUACAAACAACAAUUGAACAGAGUUACAAAGCUCCAUUUCAAGCAACAAUUGAACAGAAUCCCAUUAGUCCCUUUUGAGUCCCAUUACAAGUAGCAAUUGAACGGUGUCCUUCCUUCCGCCAUCCCCUUGCUCCGUUGUGCGGGAGAUUUAGUCGACACGAGAGACAGGGAGAGAUUUUGCGGGUGUUGCUGUUGCCAAUUCAGCCGUCCGCCUCCUGUCGUCGCCAUAGCCAUCUGCUUCUGGAGGUGAGUACAGACUAUAAAUUAUUUUGUGUCUUUCAUUUUUUGAAUAAUUCUAAACGAAUAUAGCCGAUAACAUAGAGGAUGAUAUAGCACUCACAUAAAAUGCGUGGGCCCCCGGGUGAAUAAAAAAAAAGCCAACCCCCAUGUGUGAGGGCUAUGUCAAAUGUCAUCCUUUAUGUUCAUCUAGCAAGGCUUUAAUUUUACUUACAUCUACUUAUUUUGUGUUUUGAUUAAUGAUUUUGAAUAUCUGUGAUUGUGAUUUGCUUGAACUUACAGAUUCUGAAUAACUCAUGAUUAAUUCUUUCUAUUUUCUUUGGGAUGGGUAAUUUUUUGUUCAAAUUUUAACAAACUCUUCCAUCAAAAUUGUGGAUCAUAAAGAACCUAAGUCAUUGAAAUCCCUACAAUUACAAAAAGAAUUAAGAAAAUAUUGAUCAGAAAGGGGAUUAGCUCUCUGUCAUGGAUGAUUGGUUAUUGUAAUAUUGAUCAGAAAUGGAUUCCUCUGCUUUCAUCCCUGUCACAUACAUUAUUGUCAGGUAAUUUUUUGUUAAACAAUUUUGUAAAGGGAUCAUUGCAGGAGUAGUUGUACAGGUACUUUGUCAAACCAUUUUUUAAUCAAGGUAUAUACUUUGAUUAAAUUUCUUGAAUUAGUACAUUGCGUUUAUUAUUUCUAUAGUGGUUAAUAUGAUUCCCUUUUCACUCUUUCAGUUGGUUUGUUGCAGCCUGCAGGUGCUGGAUUCACAGACAUUGAGGAUGUUGUUCCUUUCGUUAAAUGGCUGGAUGAUGAGCUCUCCACCUGGUACAGUUUUUUAUAUUGUUUAGUUUUCUUAGAGGAUUAGACUCGGACAUGAUCAGAAAUAGAGCAUAGUUCAUUGUUGUUAAAUAGUUAACCGUCUAAUAAAUCUUAUGGAAUAGGUUGAUGAAAGGGCAGUGCUAAAGCAUUUUGAUUGGCCUGAGAAGAGGGCAGAUGCAUUAAGAGAAGCUGCAUUUGCAUAUUGUGUGUCUGAAGCCUCGUCAUUUCGUGAUGAUCCUAGACAGCCUUGUGAUUAGGGGCGGACCAAGGGCGGUAUGUCAGUGGGGGCAAAAGGGAAAAAACCUUGUGAAAAAAUCUGAAAAUCCAAAAAAGAUUGGGAAAAAGUUAUGAAAAUCAAAAAAAACUUGGAGAAAAUUUGAAAAUCUGAAAGUCGAGUGAGGGUGGCCGACCCCGCAGGUCCCUUCACAGGUCCACCCCUGCUUGUGAUGUUGCUCUCAAGAAGAUGCAGGCAUAGUUUGAGAAGUAUGAAAAUUUCCUAAUUUUAUUACGUACAUUGUCGACAAAUUGAUAAACAAAUUUAACUUCUGUGUCGUUGGCGACAUAUUGGAUCUUGGAGUUAAUAAUUUGUCAAAGAUGAGAGAAUCAGCCGCAGAAAGAUACAGAGCAUUACGUGUCCCAAUUGAUUGGAUGCUAGACAAGGGAUGUUGAAGUCAGGAUGUAAUCUUUUGCUUAAGUCAUGAUAUUUCGUAUAAUUAACACAUAUAUUUGUAGUUGAUGUUGGGAUAUUUUAAUUUAUUCAAUGCCAGGAAAACUUUAUUUCUUGUUAAUAUUAUUUACAAUUGGCUUUCUUUACUUUUGAUAGUUGUUUAUGAUUGUGGAAAAGAUUUGCUUGUAGUAUGAUGUGAAUAUGUGAAAGUUAUGAAUCCAUUAAUAUGUUUUUUCAAUGAUAUUUUAUCAAAAAAUAAUUAAUACAGCGACAAAUCAAGUAGCAGUUGAAAUAAAAUCGGUUGCUAAUUUUAUUUUUUUACGACCAUUUCUUUCGUCGUUGAAGUGAAACACAACUAAAAUUUGGUUGCCUUCAUUAUAUUUUAACGACAAAAUUAGUUAAUAGAACAACCAAAAAAGUGGUUGUUGAAAAAAGAAUUAGUUGUCAAUAUAAACUUUUUACUACUAAUUAUUUAGUUGCUAAAAUAAUACAUUCAAUGACCAAAUAUACUUUUAGUCGUUAAAUACAUUUGCCAACACCCCUUUGCCAACCAAGGAACAACCAAUUGAUUUUGGUCGUUGAAUAAUAUCAACAACGAAAAAUGUAUAUUAUACGACCAUUUCUAUGGUCAUUGAAAGUGAUAUUUCCUGUAGUGAUAAUCGUAUUUUUAAAAUAAACAUAUUCAGGUAACUAAUUCAGUAACAUUUUUAUUCUUUUAGAAUAAAUUAAACUAAUUAAAUUGAAAGACAGAAUAACUUAAUGAAUAUUUUUUGUCUCGGCAGCCCGCAUCACCAUUCAAUACCAUUCCAAUCGAUUCGAACUAACUUGUACAAAUUGUAAGAGUGAGUAUUUAAAAAUACCCAAUAAGAUAUGUGCAGUUUUCAUAUAUAGAUAUAUAACAAUAAAAUCUACACUUCAUACUGCUCUGCUUUUAUGGAGUAUAUCGGUGACCAAACGACACGCCCAUCUUAGGUCCUCUUAAAUUUCUGCAGGAAUUCCAUAUCUCUUUCUCUAGAACCUGAAGGUCCACUAGUAAUCCAUGCAUAUUUAAUUGUAUAUAAAAGUAUAUAGAAGCAUAAACAACUUGCAAAUAUGUAUUUUACCUCAUUUAAAAGAAUUCACAGAAAUAUGAAUUCGAGUUCUGUUUCUCAACUGCUUCUAUAAAAUUAGCUUGCUUUCUCUUCCUAAAAUAUUUUACCUCUCAGUACUGUGUGUAUAAUUUUUUAGGAUAUAUUAUGACCUCUCUUUCUUUUUCUCUGGAUUGUUUUUCUGUCGAGCAGCGUGCUUUACUAACUAUCACCAAAGUUGAGCACUGCUGGAAGACUUCAUUUGAUUUGUACGAUUCCACUAUUCUAGCCACUACACCAUAAAGUCUAAAAUUUUCUACUAUUCUGAUUCCAUUAGAUGACAGCAACUUGGAGUUUUAAUUGCAUUACAAUUAGCCUUUUAUCCUAAUUGGAAAAUGGAAAUCUACACAUCGUUAACCAUCUAUGUUAAUUCCCAAAAAUCAAACCAAUUAAUUAAUAUUAAAAAGAUUUAUCUUAUCUACCAUUCACAUGCCUACUAUACCCAUACAAUUCAAAAUCAAAGUAAACAAUUCUCUACAAAGGACACGUGGAUGGCUAAGUGACAAUUACCAAUAAUUUAACAUGCUAAUAUAUAUCAAUUCCUUUAAACGUCAUUCUCUUAAGCUUAUAGACUAUCCGAAUCAACUUUUCCUCGAGCCUAAAAUUCAUGAUUUAAUAUGAUCUGCCCAACAAGCACAAUAUUGAUAUAUUAAAUCUUGAUCUAUAAAUAUCUAAUUAUUAGACCCAAAUAAAAUAUGAUUUCCAAAUCCUAUUUCAUUCUCUCUCUUUUUUUUAAAUAAUAAUAUAAGAAACAAUAUAAAUAAAUUUAUUUACUUAGGAUUAGUAUUAACAACUAACCUUUAUCCUAAUCAACUAUCAAAACUAAUAUAAAUUACCAGCCAACCAUCAUAAUUAACUUGAUCAAUUCCAGAUUUAUCUUUAUAAAAAAUAUAACCCAUUCAUCUCUACACACAUGUAGUUGGAUCCCUCUAAAAUCCAAAGUUAGAGCAAAUAAAUCUAUUUAAAAUAAAACUACCUCAUCUAUAACAACCUACUCUUGUACUAUGUCAAGAAAAUUGCCCCUACAUUGUACCUAAUAAGUCAUUCAACUCUAAAAGGAAGGUAAUUUCUCUCUCCAUCAAGUUAUGAUCAAUUAAGAAAUACCUCUCUCUUUCUCCAACAAAUAGCUCACGUGGGAUGGAAGAAUUUAAAAUGAAUAAUAACCUAAUUAAUUAUAAAUUUAGGCAAAUCUUUCAACCUCAAUAACAUGGACAAAAUUUAUUCAAAAUACUUAUUUCUCGAAUCCAAUAGACAUUAUUUAAAAUGGUUUUGCUUCCUGUACAUCGGGGUGUACCUGAUGGUGUACACCCCAUUAUAUACAUCUAGCAUUUUUCUAUUUAAUACGAGCUACAUAAUGAGCCCAACGUUGAUAUACUUAUCAUUAGUAUAUCAAAAUUCACAUAUUUGACCCAAAAUAUAAGAAUUUAAAAUAUAUUUUGACUUAGUCCCUCAACUUUUGAAAUAGUAGAAAUAAUACAUAGAAUAAAUAAAUUUUUAUUCAAAAAAUUUCGAGAUGUUACAAAACCCGAUAGUGUAAGAGUCAUAUGUACCCUGUAUAACCGAAGUAAAAGACUUCCAUGAACUCUGCUCGGCUUGAGAUAGGUUUGAACAGCCAGAAACUAUAGUAGCAUAGGUCUUUUGGCCUUGAUUAAACACUAUCUAUGCCUUAUGUGGAAAAAUCAAGGACGAAAAUGUAUUUGGAUUAACUGCAGGAACAUUCUGGACAAAAUUCGCAGGAGGGCAACUGGAAUACCGUCGGUCGGUUGUUAGCAGCUUCGUUUUUCGAGCCAAAAUCAACUAGAAGUAGAAAAAUUAUGAAUUUAACCGGUCCUGAGGAUUAAGUAAAUAACUAUCAAGAACGAAGUAAUAUUUUUACUUAGGUAAUUUCCCCUUUUCUAAGAAAGGAGAAUAGGAAUGAAAUAAACUCGAAAUUUCAUCCUGAUCCACGUAGUUAGGUGCAUUUCCCAAGGUAAGGUCUAUAGAGGCCCAAAAAUUUGUGAUUUUUCGACAAUCGAGCUGAUUACGUUUGGGCCCAUAUCUAGAGCAUUUGUGCUCCGGUUUGGUUGAAUUUUUGAGCAAAGGUAGUCCGAUUGAUGGGAAAGAUGAAUAUCUGGCGUGUGCAUUUGUUGGAGAUCUACAUAGGGAUUAAUUGCAAUUUCAGUUUCUGACUAUACGGGGAAUCGAGGUUGCGAUUCCAACCAAAUCCGAUGUCUGUGACACUACCCCAAGGGUUUUUGGGCCUUCUGAGUUCAUUGGUGGUGAUCCUAUUACCAAAAUCUAACUAGAAGUGGUAAAAAAGGAUGCAUUAGGAUGCGUGCCUAUAUUUUUUUGAGUUGAAUCCAAUCCAAAAGCUAUUGAAACUAUUGUUUGUUGCUAGAAAUGAAUUGUGGAUAUUGUUGAGGGUGUCCUAUCAUCUAUUUGGUUGGUGUUUUCCAGUGGCAGAACAAGAGCGUUGAUAUUUUGGAGUUUUUCUCCCAUCCAAGAGAGAAGACUAUCACAUGUCUACAUAAGUAUCAUUGUUUACAUUUGAUGGUGGGGCCAUUAUUUGGAGAAAUAUCAAGUAGUCAUGCAUUGCUAAUUACACCAUUGAUGCCAAGUAUUUGGCAGCUUGUGAAGCAACUAAAUUGGCUGCAUCAGAGAAUCCGUACGGAUAUCGAAGUGGUACAUACAUCAGCACAACCCUUUACAUUGUAUUGGGAUUACAGUAGGACUAUUACAAACGCUAAAGAACCAAGAACUAUCAAAGGGGUAAACCCAUUAAAUGAAAAUAUCAUCUCUUAAGAGAGAUAAUUGGUAGAGAAAAUAUGGUUUUCAGUAAUAUUGCUACUAAGAUAAUCUUGUAGACUCAUUUACUAAGAUCAUAUUAGCUAUGGUUUUUGAGGGAUAUCUACAAGAUAUGAGGUUGCAAGACGUGACACCUAUACUCUAAAUGGGAGAUUUGUUAGGUUGUGUGCCCAUAUAAUAUAUUUUGCUUUAAUAAAAUAAUAAUUUAUAAUACAUAAAUUGAGCAUGCGAAUUAUUUUUUAUUGAGCAUACAAAUUAAAGUGCCUAUGAUCACUUAAUAAUAUAAGCUGGGCACUUUCGCUUAGAAGUACAAUGUGAAACAACCUAUAUUUUGAUCUUAGAUUAUUUGUUCACAAUCAAUGUAUAAGGUUGGCACUUUGUACUGGAAGGUUGUAGUACAAUUGAGAUUUGUAAUUUGUCCUUAUCACAGAAUUAGUUAAAUGUGACACUUGGAUUGUAUUAAACAGACUACGUGUUGAGUUUAAUUCUAUAGCAUGACCGUGCCGAUAAUUAAAUUCCACUUGACAACUGUGUAUUUCAUUUAAAUCCCUUGACGAGGCUAUGUAUAUAUAUUUUCGUGAUUUUAAUGGUUCUUGAUUCAUCGAUAGGUAAGAUUAACUUUACUAGUCAAAAUCUCGAUGUGUUAGGAACUUUAGAAUGAGCAAAAUAGAGAGCACGUAUUCGUGUCAGGAACCGUCACCUUGAAAAUUGGGUAGAGUGACUACUUAAGUUUUUUUUUAUCGAUUAAAAUCUUAUCUCAAUGUUUAGUGACGACUAAACUUUGAUGUGAUUAGUUCAAAGGACCAUUAAAAAAAAGAUACUUCAAUUAGUGAGAACAAUUAGAAGGGAACAUUUUUUUAUUUAUGCUCAUACUUAAUUAUCAGAUCUAGAACGGGGAUAAUGUAUAUAUAUGGUAGGUCAGAAAAAAGUAUUACAAAUUUAAAAGUAUUACAGAUUUAUUGGCUUCUGUGAUCUUAUAUAUUUCAAGAAUUCAGUCUUUAAUCUUUAGUGGAAAAAAUAAAGACUAAUAAUUAGAUUGAGUGGUCAAGGGUUGACUAGACAGUAUCUAAUUAUUGUAGUUUGAAUAAUAUAUGUCCCAUCGGGUUCUUAUGAUAGCUCUAUAAAGUAAUGAAAUUUAAUUACAGUAAUUGUAAUAGAUUUGGGCUUAAUUGUAAUUAAAAUAUAGUUUUUUACUUAUUUGUAGUUACUAUUAAAAAAACUUAUUUAUAAUUAUAAUUGAAAUUCUAGAACUGCACAUGUUACAUAUAAACUAAUUGAAUUUGGACUUUUAUUGCAACUCGCACCUGGAUUUUAAUUAGAACUCUAAUUUGAUGUGAAAUUAUUAUUGUACAAGGAUUGUAACUAUUAUAUCUCUAAAAAUUUAGAUUAGAUGGAAACUCGAUAUCCUAUAGGAUUGUACAACAAUCAUAAUACAUAACUCCAUGGUGUUCGAAGUUGAAAAGAGAAAAAGAGAGAGAGAAAAUUUAUUUUUUCAUCUUACUCAAUUGUCCUCUUAUUUAAGAAUUAGUUUCUUCAUUUAAUUAAAAGGCCGUGUCCGUCCACCAGUUUAAUCUUGACUUUGGAGAAUACCAUAGAAGACUUGGAGUCUGAAGCAUCAAGUUUUUGGAAUUAAAAAGUUGAAAGUUCUUGAUUUAGAAUUAAUUCAAUAAUUGAUCACUGAAUUUAGGUAAAAAUUCGAAUUCUUAUUCUUAAUAGCACAUAAACAACUGGACGACCUUGUUCAUUGAACUAAAGAAAUUUCUAAACUUCUAGAUAAUUUCGCUUCAAUAUUCCAAUUGGUACAAGGUCAAGAUCCUCAUCUUUUGUUUAACUUGCUCUGAUCUAAUGUAUGCCUUGAAUGGCUUAUCUAAGAAAUGUAUAAACUAGCGAGCUUUUGAGGGUGAAAUUACCUCACCUUCGCAACAACUACCACAAAACGUUUAUUAGCACCAUUCAAAAAAAAUGUUGCAAAAAAGUUAUUAGCAUUAUUCUAAAAACGUCACAAAAAUAUUAUUAGCAACAACCAGAAAACGUUGCAAAAGGUUAUUAGCAACAAUCAACGAAUGUUGCCAAAAAAAAAAAAAAAAAAAAAAAAUUCUAAAAAAAAAAAAAAAAAGACAAUUCUCUGAAUGCCAUUCGCAAUGAUCAUUGAAUGUUGUCGUCCUCUUCAAUUAUACGGCAACAUCAAAGCCCGAGGCAUACUUUCGAAGGUAGCAGAAGAUCUUUUGCAAUGUUUGUUUCUAGUUGUAAAAGGUUUUAUAGUGAGCCGACAUCGAGAAGCAAACAAAGGAGUCUAAUCACCUUACAACUGUUGCUACAAGGAUCACAAAUUGCAAAGAUAUGAGUUGAUUGUUACUAACUAAGACCAUUUGAACAAGCAACAUUUGGUUCUAAAAUUGAUCGGUGUGUUAGAGAGAUAACUGCCACAAAACUUCACCUUCGAGUGAACCCCGUAUUUGUAAACUCAGAAAUCAUCAAGCAAAUGAGAUAUCAUGCCUUUAUAUUUUGAAGGAGUACUUACAUCUGAAGAACUCUUUUUGUGAGGCAUAGGCCAUUCAGACAUUCCUUAAAUUAAGAAGAUUGAUUUUUUUACUACAUCAUCUUAGUGGGGAAUUCAUCAGUACGUUCAUCUUUUUUAGGUCCAAACAAGACCAUUUGAAUGACUUAGCAAAGUAGUCUUUGUAAUUUUUCUCUUAUAAUUUCAUUUAGUAAUGAAAAGAUAUCAUUUUACUUUUUCAUUUUAUUGUUGCUGAUAUACUACAUUUGUUAAUUUUUUUAAUGGGGAGCGUUCCGCUAACCAAUACAUUUGACAAAGAAUUAUGACAAAUGAUCUGGGCUCUUCAAUCUUAGAAAAUCUAACGGUCUUCAUCCAUAUGUUAAAAUCCUUCAAAAAUUGUAUCUCCCUAUCCAAACAUUCCCUACUCCUUUUAAAAUUCAUCAAUUAUAGCUUUUUUCCAAAAAAAAAAAAAUAAAUAAAAAAAUCACCAGAUUCUUCUCACCAAAUCUUCUCUCAUCGAUUUCACCAUUCCUCUCUAAUUCUCAUCUCCUUCACCAACAUCCAUUUUUUUUUUCAACCAUCAGAUUUGUGAUAUUGGCAUCAGCGGAGAAUUAAGGUUGAAACGGGUUUAUUCAAUUUGAUGUUAGUUUAUUCACAAAAUUGUGGUGAUGGCAAAAAAAGCUGAAGCCUCAGCUCCACUAAAUGUCCGAUUACCAAUUUGUCACUCGGUCUUUGUGAUGGGAGAUCAAACAAAUUUUGAGAUUGAACCAUCAUUUGGUAUUGAGGUGUCACAGCUUUAUCCUGAUGUCAAAUAUGCCUCUGUGGAUGAGAUGCUUGACCAAUAUGUUCAAGGAAUUUAGCUAUAUCUGGGUACAACUUCGAAAGGGAAAAUGAAAAGGGAAAAAUGGAUCUGCAAUUGCAGUGCCUUCAACUUAGUUUUGAAGUUCUAAAAUUUGUACUAUACCAUUAAUUUUCAAUGGAGCGUGUUUGUGCUGUCCAAAUGAUUCUUCACUUCCUUGCUCCUUCAAUGUCAAAGGCCCUAAUUUAUUGGCAUACGUAAAAAUCCCUUUAAUUGAAUAAAGAGUCUAUUCUAGAAAACCAAGAAAAUCCUGUUUAAUCAUUCAUUUACUGCUUAUUGAACACUUUUUUACCUUUCUUAAUGGAUAUAGCGAAUUGAAAUUGAGGAAAUUAAUUGUAUAAAUGACAGCAACGUCGCAUAAUAGAAAAGCUGGUAAAUUUGGUGUCCGAUGGAGGUAAGAAUGAUGUAGGUUACUUUGGCCAUAUCAGUACUUCUCGAGCAAAUUAAGAUUGAAUAAAUCAACACCAGAAUCUUUUUUUCAACAAUCGGAUUUGUGAUAUUGGCAUCAGUGGAGAAUUAAGGUUGAAAUGGAUUUAUUCAAUUUGAUGUUAAUUAACUUGGUGUUGAUAAUUGGAGAAAAAAAAAAAAGGAUGCUGGUGAAGGAGAUGAGAAUUAGAGAGGAAUUAAUGAUAACUUCUUCCUCCACUUGCUUUAUAUAAAGUGUUUGUUCAUUAACACUUUUUACAAAUCCAAGGCAGCUUAGAUGUUCAUCAAUUCGGCUGUACCAGACUCUUGGAGCUUGCUUUAAUCUAUAUAAGGCUUUCUUGAGCAAAUAUACCUUAUUUUCAUUCCCAGCCACUGGAAAACCUUCAGAUUGCUCAAUGAAGAUUUUUUCUUGUAGAUGUCCAUUUAAAAAGGCUGAUUUAACAUCCAACUGGUGAAUCAUCCAACCCUUUUGAGCAGCAAUAGCAAACAGCAAUCUAAUUGUCUCAUAUCUGGUCAUUGGUGCAAAUGUAUCAGCAAAAUCAAUUCCAUAUUGUUGGGCAUUACCUUUCACAACCAAUCUGGCCUUGAACUUGUUGACAGAACCAUCAGAAUUCACCUUGGUUUUGAACAACCAUUUAACUCCGAUAAUAUUUUUAUUCCUUGGCCUAUCAACGAGCUCCCAAGUUUCAUUCUUUUCAAUCGUCUUCAGUUCCUCCUUCAUUGCAGCCAACCACUCUUGUGAGUUUACUGCCUCAGCAAAAGUUGAUAUCUCUAGAACGGCUGAAUUGCAUCUUGCAUACACAUCAGCAAGAGGUUUGGUCCUUAGCACUUCAUUUUCUGAGUCAGGGUCACUACCCUGUUCAAGUUCAUCCUCAUUGAUGAUGUCUUCAUUUUCUUGAGUUACCAACCUUGGAAUUUGAAGGAGGUACUUGCUUCCCAAUUCCAUGAAGAAUAUUCAUCCACCUUAAUAUCCCUGCUGGACAUCAUCUUCUUGGUUUGAGGAUUAUAGGGUGUUUGCUUGUUCAAAGCUUUUGUUGGUAAUCUAUUGAGAAGAUAGGUUGUUGUAUUUGUAGUUUCAGCCCAAAACUCCUUUGGAACCUUCUUCUCAAGCAUCAAACAUCUUGCCAUUUCCAUCACCGUCCUAUUCUUCCUUUCACAAAAUCCAUUUUGUUGUGGUGAAUAUGGUAUUUUUCAACUAGUGUUUGAUCUCCACAACAUCACAAAACUUGUCAAACUGGUUACAUUUGUAUUCAGUUCCAUUGUCUGUUCUGAUGGCCUUUAUCUUGCAAUUACUCUCAUUUUCCAGCAACCUCAGAUUUCAUUUUCAAGAAAUACACCCAACACAUCCUUGUUAAAUCAUCAAUGAAGAGUAUAAAAUAUCUAUUGUCAUUCAGUGUUUGUGUUCUCAUUGGACCACAUACAUCAGAGUGCAUUAGCUCCAGCUUUUUUGUAGUUCUUCUUAGCUGAUUUUAAGAGAAUGGUAGUCUUAUUUGCUUCCCAAGUUGACAGGUAUCACAUACACAACUAUCAUCACAUAUGUCAUGCAAAUUUUCAACAAGUUCCAUCUUAUGCAUUUAUUUAAGUGAAGUGAAAUUUGCAUGAACAAACCGUUUGUGCCAAAGUGAAGACUUCACAUCAGUACAAGAGUAUGCAUGAGAGGUCAAAUUUUUCCAUUCUAAAGUGAAGCUUCUUUGCUUCAUUUCAACUGCCAUUAAUUCAUUUCCACUUUGAUCGAGUAUAGUGCAACCACUAUCCUUAAAUACCAAAGUGUAAUUUUUCUCAAUCAAUUGACCCAUACUUACUAAAUUUUGAUCAACAUCUAGCACAUAAAGUACAUCAGGAAUAUGUUUGAUACCUGUUGAAGUUCGCACAAAAAUCACACCAAUUCCUUUUACUUUCACAUUAUCACCAUUUCCAACCUUCACCUUUAAUUUGUAUGUAUUGUUUAACUCAACAAAGAUGCUGGAAUCUGAAGCCAUAUGAUGUGUGCAACCAUUGUCCAGUAGCCAAGUUCCAAUUUCACUACUCAUCUUGUGAUUUGCAGCUGUAAAUAGAUGCUCUUCAUUCAGGUCUUAUUGCUGAUUUUCAGCAACCUGUGCUUGCUGCUGUAAUGACUUCUCCUUCCGGCUCUUACACACUUUUUGAACAUGUCCAAACUCCUUACAUGCUCUGCAUUGAACACCAAGUCUGUACCAACACCAUUUUGGAGAGUGACCUAACUUUUUUGCAAUGAGGACAGGGAGGAUAAUCAUUACUCUUACCAGCAUUCUUGUUGAACUCGACCUUCUUCUUUUCAGGUGGUUGCUUCUUCACUCCAUAACUUGUUUGAGUCUUAUAUUUUCCUUUGACAAAUAAGGCAACUUCAACCUAUUCUUCCUGCCUUAAAAGUCUUCUUUGCUUAGCAGCUUGCAAGGUAUUAACCAACUCUGAUAAAGUUAUAGAAGANNNNNNNNNNNNNNNNNNNNNNNNNNNNNNNNNNNNNNNNNNNNNNNNNNNNNNNNNNNNNNNNNNNNNNNNNNNNNNNNNNNNNNNNNNNNNNNNNNNNNNNNNNNNNNNNNNNNNNNNNNNNNNNNNNNNNNNNNNNNNNNNNNNNNNNNNNNNNNNNNNNNNNNNNNNNNNNNNNNNNNNNNNNNNNNNNNNNNNNNNNNNNNNNNNNNNNNNNNNNNNNNNNNNNNNNNNNNNNNNNNNNNNNNNNNNNNNNNNNNNNNNNNNNNNNNNNNNNNNNNNNNNNNNNNNNNNNNNNNNNNNNNNNNNNNNNNNNNNNNNNNNNNNNNNNNNNNNNNNNNNNNNNNNNNNNNNNNNNNNNNNNNNNNNNNNNNNNNNNNNNNNNNNNNNNNNNNNNNNNNNNNNNNNNNNNNNNNNNNNNNNNNNNNNNNNNNNNNNNNNNNNNNNNNNNNNNNNNNNNNNNNNNNNNNNNNNNNNNNNNNNNNNNNNNNNNNNNNNNNNNNNNNNNNNNNNNNNNNNNNNNNNNNNNNNNNNNNNNNNNNNNNNNNNNNNNNNNNNNNNNNNNNNNNNNNNNNNNNNNNNNNNNNNNNNNNNNNNNNNNNNNNNNNNNNNNNNNNNNNNNNNNNNNNNNNNNNNNNNNNNNNNNNNNNNNNNNNNNNNNNNNNNNNNNNNNNNNNNNNNNNNNNNNNNNNNNNNNNNNNNNNNNNNNNNNNNNNNNNNNNNNNNNNNNNNNNNNNNNNNNNNNNNNNNNNNNNNNNNNNNNNNNNNNNNNNNNNNNNNNNNNNNNNNNNNNNNNNNNNNNNNNNNNNNNNNNNNNNNNNNNNNNNNNNNNNNNNNNNNNNNNNNNNNNNNNNNNNNNNNNNNNNNNNNNNNNNNNNNNNNNNNNNNNNNNNNNNNNNNNNNNNNNNNNNNNNNNNNNNNNNNNNNNNNNNNNNNNNNNNNNNNNNNNNNNNNNNNNNNNNNNNNNNNNNNNNNNNNNNNNNNNNNNNNNNNNNNNNNNNNNNNNNNNNNNNNNNNNNNNNNNNNNNNNNNNNNNNNNNNNNNNNNNNNNNNNNNNNNNNNNNNNNNNNNNNNNNNNNNNNNNNNNNNNNNNNNNNNNNNNNNNNNNNNNNNNNNNNNNNNNNNNNNNNNNNNNNNNNNNNNNNNNNNNNNNNNNNNNNNNNNNNNNNNNNNNNNNNNNNNNNNNNNNNNNNNNNNNNNNNNNNNNNNNNNNNNNNNNNNNNNNNNNNNNNNNNNNNNNNNNNNNNNNNNNNNNNNNNNNNNNNNNNNNNNNNNNNNNNNNNNNNNNNNNNNNNNNNNNNNNNNNNNNNNNNNNNNNNNNNNNNNNNNNNNNNNNNNNNNNNNNNNNNNNNNNNNNNNNNNNNNNNNNNNNNNNNNNNNNNNNNNNNNNNNNNNNNNNNNNNNNNNNNNNNNNNNNNNNNNNNNNNNNNNNNNNNNNNNNNNNNNNNNNNNNNNNNNNNNNNNNNNNNNNNNNNNNNNNNNNNNNNNNNNNNNNNNNNNNNNNNNNNNNNNNNNNNNNNNNNNNNNNNNNNNNNNNNNNNNNNNNNNNNNNNNNNNNNNNNNNNNNNNNNNNNNNNNNNNNNNNNNNNNNNNNNNNNNNNNNNNNNNNNNNNNNNNNNNNNNNNNNNNNNNNNNNNNNNNNNNNNNNNNNNNNNNNNNNNNNNNNNNNNNNNNNNNNNNNNNNNNNNNNNNNNNNNNNNNNNNNNNNNNNNNNNNNNNNNNNNNNNNNNNNNNNNNNNNNNNNNNNNNNNNNNNNNNNNNNNNNNNNNNNNNNNNNNNNNNNNNNNNNNNNNNNNNNNNNNNNNNNNNNNNNNNNNNNNNNNNNNNNNNNNNNNNNNNNNNNNNNNNNNNNNNNNNNNNNNNNNNNNNNNNNNNNNNNNNNNNNNNNNNNNNNNNNNNNNNNNNNNNNNNNNNNNNNNNNNNNNNNNNNNNNNNNNNNNNNNNNNNNNNNNNNNNNNNNNNNNNNNNNNNNNNNNNNNNNNNNNNNNNNNNNNNNNNNNNNNNNNNNNNNNNNNNNNNNNNNNNNNNNNNNNNNNNNNNNNNNNNNNNNNNNAUGAAAGGAAAAACUAAUAGUGCAAGGACUAAGGGAAGUAAGAUUGGUAAAGAGUUUUGCCUGUUGGUACUUGCCACAAUUCUAAUCCAUUGAAAUUUGAAUAUGAUAAAACUAGUUAUCACUGAUUGGACUAUGUCGAAUAUACCUCCAGCUUGCUACUUGUUUAAUGAGAUUUUGUUGCAUCCCUCUCUUUUCCCUACAUGAAAUUAAUGCUCUGCAUGUGACCGGCGCUUGAAAGUGAUUCGUAGUGGGAGAACUCAAGAAAAUUACUUUAGAAAAAAAAAUUAUGAAUGUUUUUGGGCUUUUGACGACAAUUGUUAAAAACGUUUAUGUUGAAGUCAAAGUUGGGAUAUAUAAGGAUUUUUGUAAGUAUCAAGUUCUUUUUAUGUCAUGGUAAUUGAAUUUUAAUUUAUUUUUAACUUCCUGUUAUUAUUUCUUUUUCAGUCUAACAUUUAUCAUGUAGUAAAUUCCAUGACACUUGGAUCUACGGCUCAGGACGUGAAAAUAAUAAUAAUGAGUUAAAAAGAAUAUUCCAUGAUUUGUUCAAUCAAAAGCAGUGGGCCUUACAGCUAUAUAAUAGAGAAAAAAACCUAUCACCAAUUUACUACUAUAUGCCCUAAACAUACUGAGGUGCCAGGGAGACUUCUCAGGAUUAGGCUGAAUAUGGGCCACAAUCUUUAUUGAAGCCAAGGUCAUAUAAUAAUCUAAAAUAUCUAUGCAUGCAUAUUGGUUGGAAAUUUGAGAAAUUGAAGCAAAUUUCCGUAGAUUUUCUUAAGAACUCCACUUGAUUCCGCCAUUGAGUGGUGAAAAAUUAGCGUUGAAGCAUAGCCAGAAUAAGAUUAAUAUUUAUUUCAACUACCAAAUCCAAUUUCAAUAGCCAAAAUAUCUACAAAAUCACAAGUUAAAGUUUUAUUUUAAUUUCUACACUGCAAAAUUUUUGACAUCAUUGAAGGGCUGCGAAACAUAUAAAAUUGGCGUCAACAUUGACACUUCAGCUGGCAACCAACAUUUAAGGUAAGUUACAGAAUUGAACAUAAAGGCCACAAAAUACACAAGUCCAGAUCAAAUGAUAAAUAUUAUGUUGACCAAAUAAUAUAUGAAGUAUACUGAACAAAAAUAAAUUGCAAUGAUGACAAUAUUUUAUUAUUUCAGAAAACCACAAACAGCAAAUGAAACUGGAGAAAGCAACAGUGGCUAAAAAAGAAUAGAAAUUUGUAAAUCGAGGUCUGUGUAUUACAUAGUGUCCUUAAAACAGAUUCAUCCAUUCACCAUAAGUACUUGAAGUUUGUUUGGACGUCUCUUUUCAAGCAUACAAUGUUACGCAGAUGAGGAAGAGAAGGAAUUCAUGGGCCUCUGACAUUGGAAAAAUUGGCUCUAUACAAAGGCUCCAACAUGAGUGAUAAUGGCCCCAUAAUGAGUGACUUUACAAUAAGUAGUCAUGGGAGUUGAAGAGACAUCUGGAAGGGGAAAAAAAACAAUGUACAAGAAAUAAAAACAAAAAGUGGAUACUCCUAAGGGGCCGAUUUUUGCUUCGUUUAGUCCCACAUUCAUGUACACAAGUCGUGCCCGAAAACAAUUUCAAGGUCCGAACCCGAAAACAAUUUCAAGGUCCGAAGUUUUGAUUCGGUCAUUGAUUUACACCCCCUUGUGCGCACACAUGAAGAAAGCCUGUAUGCUAUACGUGAUUACAUCCUUCCAAAAUGUAAUCGUAUAUAAACUGUUUAUUGCUUUGAUCAUUUUCCUAUGUGGGACAAACUACACAUAGUUUUUUCCUUCAACACAAAAUAAUCUUCCAAUGCUUUAACUUUGAGCUUUAAUUUCUUAUUAACCCAAGAAUCAUUUUUGGCAAAUAAAUAUAUGAUUUCGGUGUUCUUACAGAGGAGAACAUCAAUCUAUUUUGAUUUUCAAAAUUGAUUAAAUGGGUACUACUGAAAAUUAUGCCAAAAGUGAUUCAAUGAGCCACAUUUUCCAGCAGAUUACAUUAGCACACUCCCACAUAAACAUGCAGCACAUAUACUAAUAGAGAAAAAUUGAGGAUAAUGGAUACUUGACUACUAUGAUCUUGGAUUUGAUGCCAAAAGAUUUAAAAGCAAUACGACGAGCAUAUCUAAGAGGUACAGUUCUAAUAUGGGAGGCAGGCAACAAACCUGAUUCGACUACACCAUUUGCGAUGCUCUCAGCCAUUUUUCCAGCCCCAAUUAAACCUAGCUUGUAGAGUCACUUGGAAUUGGUACAAUGGUCGUCAUCUAGAAUUUUUGAAGACAAACUAACAAUGAACUAAAAGAAAUAGAGAAAAAAUGGACAAUAUUUUCUAACUAAAACCAUGAGUAGAUUUUUAUUUAUAGAAAAAUAAAAUAACAGAUUCCUUAAAAGAUAGGAGGUCAAAGUAAACAAGAUAACUUUACAAACUUAAGCAAGUUGUUGAACAUUUGAAUCGAUUUUAUCAUGAUCUGUACAAGGAUAAAUUGUCAGGUGAAAUUUUGUUGAUUAUAAUGACAAUCAUGCUAAGAAACACGAAUCACAAAAUAAUAAAUUGAUACUUCAAAUUCAUACCCGAGGAAGACAUUGUGGAUAUGAAUAUUAACAGUUAGAUCUUUCUCUCAUUGCUCCUCACAAAGUAUUAGCCGUCAAUGGGGCAGGCCAAUAAAACAAUAUGGAGAGGAUAUGAGACCUAGCCUUUAUAUAGGAAUUUAUUGAGUCAUUCCAUUAAUGACUCCAAUCCUAAUUAAGGUUUACAUAUAUUUCCGGUUCACAUACUUAAAAUUACCACAUCAAAUAAAAUAUAACCCAUAAGGUAUAAAACAAUCCAAGUGAUCACUUAACAUAUUGGGGUUAAUCAUAGUAUUAUUAUGAACCAUACAUCUAACCCGUAAAAUUUACAAUCAAAUGGGAAGCCUAUAUUUAGAAUUAUUCUAACAUUCUCCAACUUGGACAAACAUUUGAUUGUUAUAAAACAAACUUUUGACUUUCGGGUUAGACUACAUAAGUGGCUACAAAAGUAUAGCUCCAAUGAUAACACCUUAUGUAACAUGAUCUGGUCAAACAAGAAUAUCGAAAUCGAACAUGGAAGUUGUUAUACCAUAUAAAUGAUGUAAGACCACUCCACAACUACAAAUGCUAACAUCCUUAUCGACAUGGAUUCCUAUCCUCCAACCAAUGUGGUAGUAUGGGACAUGAACUUAGCACCAAAUGUGAUAAAAAAAUUGUGCUAGUUUAUAUUGAUCCUCAUAAUGCUUCAAAUAAAAAAUGAAGCCACAUGUCUUUAAAAAAGACUCAUCUUUUAUCUUUAUCAGUUAUAUCUCGAGAUCAUAAUAACAUCAUAAUUAAAAAGACAUAAGUCAAAUGCAUGCUCAAAAUAAUUCAUGGAUAGGGAAAAACUUAUUUUAUUAUUGGAAGGGGCCAUACCCGAAAAAUAUAUGGGUUGCCUGCGUACCUCAUAAAGGGAUCAAGCCAAAAUGUAGUUCUUUCAUGUAAGCAACUCCCGCUAACCUAGAACGUCAAAGGUUCCACAAUACCUAUAUUAGCAACAUGUGUUUUAAAUUUUUUUGGAACAAGUCCCUUAGUCAAAGGAUAUGCAAUCAUUGCCUCUGUAUUGAUAUGCGUUAUUUUCAUCUGCCCUUCCUCAACUCUAUCUCUAAAUAACAAAUAUUUGAUGUCAAUGUGUUUUGACCCACCAGAACUUUUAAUACUCCUUGAAAAGAACAUUGUUGUGCUAUUAUCACAAUAAAUAGUGAUUGGUCUCGAGAUGGAAUCAACAACAUUCAACCUAGAAACGAAAUUUCUUAACCAAACGGCUUCGACGAUAGCCCCAUAACAUGUCACAAAUCUAGCUUGCAUGGUAGAAGAUGCCGUUAGAGUUUGUUUAACACUUUUUCAAGAGAUAGCACCACCAACAAACAUGAAUAUAUAACCUGAUGUUCAUUCCAAAUCAUCUUAACAUCCAGCAAAACCAAAAUCUGAGUAGUCUUGAAAAUUGGAAUGCAAGCAUAUAACCUUUAGUUUUCUUCAAAUACCUUAGAACUUUUUUAGCUACUUUCCAAUGUUAUUGCCUUGGAUUCGUCUGAAACGUACUAAGAACACUAACCGCAUAGGCUAUAUUCUGUCUAGUGCAAACUUGAACAUACAUCAAACUUCCCACAUCACUAGCGAAUGGUAUCAUCUUCAUAGAUUUCCUUUCUAGCUCAUUUCUUGGACAUUGAGCCUUGUUAAACUUAUCCCCUUUUAUGAUGAUUACAUCGUUAGGUGCACAGUUCUGCAUAUUGGACCUUUCUAGAACACGUCGUAUAUAAGCCUUUUGAGAAAGUUUUAAUAAGCCACGAUUUCUAUCAUGAUGUAUUUUAAUGCCAAGCACAUAAGAAGAUUCUUCAAAAUCUUUCAUCUCAAAAUUAGCAUAUAACAUUUUCUUUGUCACGUAAAGCAACCCCAAGUUGUUGCUAGAAAGUAAAAUAUCAUCAACAUAUAGGACAAAAAAAAUAAAAUUUCUCCUACUAUAUUUUAGAUAAAUACAUUGAUCAACUGUAUUUUCAACAAAACUAAGAGAAGUCACAAACUUGUCAAACUUUAUAUACCACGAUCAUGAUACUUUUUUGAUGCCAUAUAAGGAUUUGUUAACUUACAUACCAAAUUUUCUCUUCCAUUCACAAUAAAACCUUCAUGUUGUCUCGUGUAAACAUUUUCAGAAAAAUCUCCAUUCGAAAAGGUUGUCUUAACAUCCAUAGGAUGAAACUCAAAAUUAUAGUGUGUUACAAGUGCUAUGAUAAUUCUAAAAGAAUCUUUGGAUGAAAACAGAUGAGAAGGUUUCACUAUAGUGAAUGUCCUCUCACUAAGUGAACCCUUUUUGCAACCAAUCUUGCCUUCUUUCAUUCAACAUUUCCUUUCAAAUUCAAUUUACUUUUCAAGAUCCGCAUGUUAUCUAUAGCUUUAGUUUCCGAAGGGAGUUCUACAAAUUCGUAAACGUUAUUCUGUUCCAUAGAGUUCAUUUCAUCUUCCAUAGUAUUUAUCCAUUUAUUUGAUUCAGCACUUGUCAAUGCUUGACUAUAAAUAACAAGAUCAAAAAUAUGCCUAAUAUCAAAAUCAGUAUCUAAUAAAUAGGUAAUGUAAUCACUGGACAAUGCAGAUCUCCUUAAUUGGGCUAGUUGUCCAAUUGGUAUCAGUAUUCAACUUAUGUCUUACUUAAGAGAAGGUCAAGAGUUUGAAUCUUGGGAGACGUGGCAGAAAGCUGUGAGGGAUAAGUGGGCCCAAGGUCCAUCCAAAAUGGACAGUACGGAAGCUAAUGACUUGGGUAAGAGGCCUAGGUCGUUACAUCCAACAUCUUUUCAACUCGCCUCACACCUUUUCUGGCAUGUUGAAUUGAUAUUGACUUGACCCUUUUUUUGACUCCUUUUUUCUGACUCUUUUUUACUCUUUUUCUAACUUUUUUUCAUUCUUUCUUCUUGACUCUUUUUUUUUUUGAUAAAACAGUACAGAUGAAUAGUACCAUACGGAAUGAGCAGUGUUUUUUUUCGAAAACUUGACGAUGAAUCAAAGACUCAACAAACAAGGAAACAUCACCACGAAAAUAAAAUAAAUGAACAAAAAACUCAAUAAAAUAAAAACUGGAUAUAACCUUGAUCUUGGUGCCUAAGCUCUGAUACCAAAUGAUGUGAACCCGGUUAACAAGGUUGAAUCGAACCCACAGGAAUUGACAUCGAAUCCCAAGAACGCCCAAAUAAUUAUCAAGGUUUAGGAAUCGACCCACCAAAGUGAACCAAGCAACCGAAUGUAUAUGAAACAAAUGACCUCUUAAUCACACAAUCUUGAAAUAUCCUUCGGAUUUGCGGAUUUGAAUUCCAAAAUAAUUGAAUUAAGCAACCAAAGGUGUAUUAAACUUAUGACCUCUUAAUUACAAGAUUUUGAAAUCACACCCGAUAAAUUUAAACGCCACAUGAUGUUUUAGAUCUUGAUAAGUUCGAAGGUUUGAAGCAUCUCUCCUCGAAAGAGAAAAUUCUCCAUUCAAUAAUUCAUUAUGAAAAGUCUUAUUACAAUGUGGAAAAUAAAGAACUAUUUAUACUAAAACCCUAGGAAGAAUUAAAAAGGAAUUAAAACACUCAAACCCAAUUUGAAAGGAAUAAAACACGUCCUAAAUUAUGGCAAGGUAUCAAAAGAUAAGAUUUCUUAUUAAAUCUAAAAACUGGCGAGAAAAAUCUGAAAUUCUGCCAUUGGAAUAACUGUACGACCGCAUGGAGUGUCGAAAUGCAAUCGCAUGGUUCCAGUGAUAUUAGCGAGACAAAGUUCUGCCCCAACUCGUGCGACCGCAUGUUGAUUCAGGUGGUACGGUCGCGGAAGUAUACAUUUCAGCCUUUUUGUCUCUUUUUCAUUUCAAUUUAUUCUAAUCUACUUUGCUUCCUCUUCCAUUGGCUAACACAAGUUGGUCCCUCAUGUUUUGUCUUCCAUUCCCAGCAUGUCAUUUCCAUUGGUUGACACCAUUUGUUCCAGCUGAUUUUUUUUUAUAAGCUCAUCAGGCAUUUAUUCAUACCAACCCUCACUUAAGGCGAAGAAAAACUGUAAUAAUAACCGAUCAAUCAAUAAAAAAUAACCAAUAAUCUCAAACUCCUAUCAAUGUAAUCUAACAACGGAAAAAAAGCCUAUCUUUUCUGACGAAUAUACACCGCACCCAUCUUGUCUAGACAGAUCAAGCCUCGACAAAACCUUAGUAGUUCCGUACAUGAUAAGAACCGUUCUGUCUUCCCCUUAGCACCUAACUUCACCAAUUCAUCCGCAACCUGAUUAGCUUCUCUAUACUGAUGCAUGAUGUGAAAGUCAAACUUCUUGAUAAGGUCUAUGAGAACUUCCCAAAAAUCCCACAAGUACCAUAACGAACAUUUUCUUGUCAGAAUCCAAGAAACCACUAACAAUGAAUCACAUUCAAUAUCCACUUGAUAUAAUCCCAAAUCAUGACACAAGGUCAGUCCAUCAGUAAGCGCUCUCAACUCUGCCUCAUUGUUAGUGCCAUAUCCAAAGAAAGAGGAGAAAACUGAUAUCAGCCUGCCCGUUUCAUCCCUUACAACCCCACCACCACCAGCCAUACUUGGGUUGCCUAGACAGCUUCCAUCUACAUUUAGUUUUACUCUGCUCGCCACUGGUUUAGCCCAUUUAACAAUCCGAAGAGGUCUCUCCUGAUUCUCCAUUUAGUUUCUAAGAAGUAAUUCUUUUGACCGCGAGAGAACUCGUUCUUUUUUCAAAUUGGAUGACACAUGUUGCAGCCAAAAUUUAAUGGAACGAAAAAUCUGCUCCACAAUUUCAUGAACACCUUCCAUUCUCGCUUUACAACGUCUCAUCUAUAGCCUCCACGUCAGUAUAGUUGGAAGUAACCCUUGUAAGUACCCAACUUGUGAUUUUUAACCUGUAAUGGCCCACCAUAAAUUUACUCUAUCAUACCAGUUUUGUUUAGAUCUCCACCGAAUGCCCAAAGCCACUGAACCUUUCCUCCAAACUUCGUUUGCCAUCUCACCUGUACUAAGAACAUGGUUGGGUAUUUCUUCAUUUCCUGUAAGGCAGCAAUCACAACGAGAAGCUAAGGCUACACCCAUUUGCCGAACUCUACUAUCAACACUUAAAGCUUUAGAAAAAGCCUUCCACAUUAUCACUGACAUUCUUUUUGGGAGUGCAGAAUGCCAUACCCAUCUACCCCAAGAGGUUUGGGGCUGUUGAACUCUAAUCAUGUCCCAUGCACUCUUGGAAGAGAAUGUUCCUUUUCUAUUCGGUUUCCAAAUAAGAACAUCAUCCCCCUCUCUACAUUUACUCACCUUAGCCAUAACACUGGCGGCUUUGUCUUCCCCUACAAGUUGCAGUAAUUGAUUCAUAUUCCAACCACUAUCCAAGCAAAUAUCGUUGAUUCUAAGAGUUGGUUGAUCAAUAUGUGAUGCGUCCCAUGACAAAGGGCCAUCAUCUAACCAAUGAGCAUACCAGAACGAGAUGGAACCCUCCCUAAUCCGCCAUUGAUUUCUAUUAAUCACAUCAGGGAUGCAUCCCACAAUAGAGCACCAGAAUCGAGAGCCUAUACAGCGUAUAUUGGAGACAUCAAUCAAUCCAUGCUUCAUAUAUUUUGCCCGAAAAAAGGUUGCCCAUAAGCAAUCUGAUGACAGUAAUUUCCAUGCAAACUUCAUCUGUAGGGUACGCUGGACAUCUUCAAAUUUCCUAACUCUGAUCCCCCUCCACCAUCGGUUUACAAAGUUUAUCUCAAGAACACCAUUUCUUCCUAGUCCUUCCAAACCUCACCACAAAAGAAAGAUGAGAGGAUGGAAUUGAGUCUCUUAAAUAUAGAUUUUGGAACAUUUAACACAAACAACAAAUGUGUAGCGAUACACGUGAGAACAUGACGAAGUAAGACCAAUCUAUCCCCUUGCGACAGCAAUUGAAGCUUCCAACCUGCAAUUUUCUUUCUGAUUUUCUCCACCAAGGGCUCAAGAUGGCGGGCAGUUAAACGACCCUGGACCACUGGAACACCCAAGUAGAUAACUAGAAAUUGACCCUCCUUAAAACUAGAACCUUCCUGAGCUCUCUGAUAGACCUUUUCCUUCCAUUGGCAAAAAUGAUUAAAUCAUCAGCAUACAUCAAAUGAGUUAUCGCAGUCGUGCCCCUAGGGUGUGAGAAGCACCCAAUCUGUCCUUCCUCAAAACCCCUCUUCAGCAGUCUAGUCAACACCUCUUGUAUGAUAAUAAACAAAUAAGGGGAUAAAGGAUCUCCUUGACGAAGAGCACGCGUUGAUUUAAAAAAACCUUGCAUGGUUCCAUUCAUCAUCACUGAGAACCAUGGUGUGGAUAUACAUUGUUCAAUUAACUUACAAAACAUCAUCGGGAACCCAAAGGAUGAUAAAACAUGAAGUAAGAAAUGCCACUCCACCCUAUCAUAUGCUUUAGCCAUAUCUACUUUAAUCAUCACAUUUCCACCGCGAACCUUUUUAUUCAAAGAGUUCACUAAUUCUUGAGUGAGUGUAAUGUUCUCGAAAAUACUUCGACCUGGGAUGAAGGCUCCUUGCUCUUGAGAAAUAAUCCUAGAAAGUAUAACACUCAUUCUCUGCACCAAAAUCUUCGAAAAUAUUUUGUACACAACAGAGCAAAGAUAAAUCUGGCACAAUUUCGCUUUCCUCACUCGUAAGAACAAUCUGAAGAUAUUUCACAGCUUCUGCAUGUAUUUGUUGCGGAGUCGACAUGAUAGUGCCGUCUGUAAGCUUCAUCUGAUUUAACUUUGAUUUUCUUCGUCUUUGCGAGACUACAGCAUGAUAAAAUUUUGAAUUGUUAUCACUGUCAGACAACCAUUUCUUUUUUGCCAGUUGGGAUAAUCUAAUUUCCUCUCUUCUUUGCCAUUCCUCCAAUUCCAUUUUAGAACUCAAGUAUUCUUGUUCUGCCUCAUUAGAAAAUGCAGCUUGUAACCUACUAUCGAGAGCCCCCACACGUUCUUCUAAUUCCAAAAUAACAUUAUCAACCCUCCCAAAAAGCUCUUUAUUCCACAAUUUCAAAGCUUUUUUAGUAGCCUUCAGUUUAGCCAUUACUUUUUCUAAGCCACCCAACAUCAAACCACUCUCUCCCAAUCUCCAUGCUGCCUCCACAAGUGGUAAAAAACCCUCAUGCUCACACCACAUUCGUUGGAAUCGAAAUGGAGUCGGGCCAUACAAAGCAUACUUCUUUUGCAAGUUAAUAGUCAUAGGGCGAUGAUCAGAAGAUGUUCCUGACAUGUACUUCAUACUUGCUUCCGAGAAGUCAUGUAACACCUCCUCAUUUACCAGUGUUCUGUCUAGCCGCGCCCAACUUUCUAGUCAAACCCUCAUGUCCAUUGCACCAAGAUAAUUUUCUACCUAGAACUGGUACUUCCAAGAGACAACACUUGUCAAUGCACUCAUUAAAAUCUUCCAUAGCCUGAAGAGGUCUAGGGUGGCCACCCACUCGCUCAAAGUCAUUUCUAAUGAUAUUGAAAUCGCUAGAGACUACCCAAGGAAGGCCACUCACCCUAACAUUCUCCAACUCCUGCCAAAGUUUCCUCCUUUCCAAAGCAUUACAUUUCGCAUAAAUGAACGACACUAACAUCUUAUAUUCUCCCUUCAUGAAAACUCCAUGUAAAGCUUGAUCCGAGAAAUGAACCCAGUCAACCUUGUAAUCUUCACUCCAAAAAAUCCAUAAUUUACCUCUUGUUUUCUCAUUUGAUAUAAAGUUUGGCAACUUUAUUUUACAAGCCAAAAGCUUCAUUUUUUCUUCCCCAAGAAAAGGUUUCGCAAUCCCUAGUAUUUCCACAUUGAGUUUUCUCACUAACUUUCCUAUCCUUCCUUUUGACGUGCCCACCCCUCGCACUUUCCAUACUAAUAGUUGAUCAAUCAUAAGUCAAGUUUUGUAGGGCGUGCUUGCGCCCUCUGUGAUGCUCUAGUAACCUGGGGAAUAGUCUUCUGUCCUUCAAUAUAUUGUUUAUGGACCUCUGAAUCAGACCAAUAGUCGGGGUCUUUCUUCCCUUUGCAUCCCCUUGUUUCCUUUUCACAAUCAAACUCGUGAUGGAUAGGAUGCUGCUGUUGUUCUUCUCUACCAUCUUGCACAGUCACAUCAUCACCAUCAAUAGGAUACCCCUCAUUCCCUACUGCUAUCUCGUCAUUUACAACCUCCAAAUCUUCAUCAACCACUUUGGAAAAGUCCUUCACAAUGUCAAUGCUGGAUGGAGCUUCCUUUCCUACACCUAUAUCAACAUGUGUUGAAUCGUCUUUCAUAGUCAAAUCCUCACUUAUUUUAGCCUCCAAUAGUACAACCUCCCUCUCUCCAAUUUGAGCUUUCUCUACCCCAAUCAAACCACUAUCUCUCGUAUUCACCAAGGGGUCAGCCUCCUUAAACCUCACUAUAGCAUCACACAAACUCUCACUCUCCUUGACAAAUUUACCGGUCCCCACCGAUGAUUCUCCCUUCUCAAUUCGAGUAAUCUCCAGUUGCCCAAUUAUUUCAUCCACCUUAUCUUUAUUUUUCGCCAUAUCCUGCCCCUCUUUCUUGCGCCAUUCCUGUCUCUCCAUCACUUUUUGAAGGAGCACACGGCUCUGUCCAACCCGAGACACAGAUUCAGGAUGACCUUGUCGACCACAUUUGAUACAAUAGAAACCUGGCUUCUCAUACCGAACCUCUUGCCAAAAUGUCUUCGGUGAAUUAACAAUAAGAAAACUCCUGACUGGUUCUGCAAGCAAAUCUACUUCAAUAAACAUUCUAGCCCUUGUGGCCCGAGAUCGAUUCAAUGUUGCACGAUCAGUCCCCAAGUAUCUUCCAAAUUGAGUCGGCAAUAAUCUUAAGCAAUCUGGUCUAUGCAUAUGCAUCGGCAAACUUGGCAAAAAGAUCCACUGUGCAGUAAUAGAAGAUUCUCUAUUGAGAUCAAACUCCGCCGACCAUUUGAAGAGACGAAAUGUCGCCCCAGCCAAGGAUCGACCCUCUCUUGUCCACACAUGCAAGUAAUCUAUCUCAUUCUUCAAUUGAAUCAGCACAUGUGAGGCAUCCAUGUAGCUAAUUACUGGAAUCACUUGAAGACCCCAAGCCUUGUUAAUAGUUCGUCAAACUUCAUCAAUGUUUGGCCUCACCGUGAGGAAUUUCAACACCAAAACAAACCGUAAGUCCUCAGAUAGGGUCUUCUCUUCCACAUUUGUAAACAUAAAUCCAAGAUCACCGUUAAUCAAUUUUGGACCUCGCAUCGUGAUGGCCAAAUCCAUUUUUAUCACCGUCUGAUUAAUCCUAGUUUUCUCACGCGGCUUGACAACCUCUGAAUACGAUCUGCUGUGUUGCACUCCAGUUGGAAACCCACCUAUUGUGACUCCACCCUGAUGCUCAUCGGAAAGCCCUGCCGGUACUGGUUGCACCGGCAGGAGGGUAGUCAUGG